CAGUAGCCGCGGGAAUACGUAGGGUGCGAGCGUUAAUCGGAAUUACUGGGCGUAAAGCGUGCGCAGGCGGUUCGUUAAGACAGAUGUGAAAUCCCCGGGCUUAACCUGGGAACUGCAUUUGUGACUGGCGAGCCAGAGUAUGGCAGAGGGGGGUAGAAUUCCACGUGUAGCAGUGAAAUGCGUAGAGAUGUGGAGGAAUACCGAUGGCGAAGGCAGCCCCCUGGGCCAAUACUGACGCUCAUGCACGAAAGCGUGGGGAGCAAACAGGAUUAGAUACCCCAGUAGUCCCUGUCUCUUAUAC
RNAcentral lists this ribosomal RNA (301 nucleotides) under uncultured bacterium. RNAcentral's name for it is "partial 16S ribosomal RNA". It matches the Rfam family "Bacterial small subunit ribosomal RNA", at positions 509 to 807 of the family's 1533-position model. The record is from RNAcentral.